GGACGUCCUGUCCACCCCAGACGUGGCGCGCUCCAUGGGCCCCCUUGCCCGUUUCUUGACUCCUCCUCUUUCUCCUGUGCCGCUCUUACUGUUGAUUGCCUCCCUGGCUUAGAUCUGGUUGACAUCCAGUCUUCUGCCUCGCCUUCGGAUACGCAGCAUUGGCUCUCGUGCGGUUUUGACUCUGCUGUUGUGCCGUUCCGUGACGAAGCAUGAUGCUGCUGAUAAUGCUCUUUCUCUGCUCGGAAGGUAUCUCGCCAUGAAAGCUCCUAUUGUAUGUGUAUGUGUGCUGUUGCUACUGUUGUGUAUGGGACCGUGUCUUUUCAGGUGCCUCAUGGAUCGAGUGUACGCUCUGGCCUCCUCGCUCAUCCCCCACCGGUCCGACUACGUCUUUAUGGCACAGACCGUGCGCAAGCCCAUCUACGCGUCAUUGAAACCAUCUUAUGAUCCAUCUUAUGAUGAUGCUGUUCCUGUCUCUGUGUAGGAGCCUUUUUCUCUGUUCUCUCUGAUGUGCGUAUUGAUUAUAACCCGUCUUCAACGGGUUAUAAAAGAGGGGAAUGAAAGGGUUAACUUUCCGUCGGCCUGUCUCUUCCCCAGUGACUAACAUGUAUUAAUAAAAUCAGACUCUGCUGAGGGUGCAAGGGUGUCUGCCCUUUGUGCAUACUUACAGGCUGUUAAUAACUAUUGUUCCUCUUUCAUUCUGGAUUUUGAUGUUGAACUGAGCACAUCCAGAGAUGGAGAAAAACAACUCCAUGUAUGGACAUGCAGGUUACGACAUAUGUUAGAAUGUGGUCGAGCCCUUCCUUGGCUGCCUGCGAGCACGUGGGAAGGGCUCUCUGUCUGUUUGGGUAUAAAAGAGGGGACUUCCCCUUCUUCUGUGUGCUUUUGUGCUGAAUAAACUCUGUCUCUAUA
Molecule: long non-coding RNA, 909 nt
Organism: Pygocentrus nattereri (red-bellied piranha)
Lineage: Eukaryota; Metazoa; Chordata; Actinopteri; Characiformes; Serrasalmidae
Exons: 2
Source: RefSeq, a predicted model, not a curated record